CCUACGGGCGGCUGCAGUGGGGAAUAUUGGACAAUGGGGGGAACCCUGAUCCAGCCAUGCCGCGUGUGUGAAGAAGGCCCUCGGGUUGUAAAGCACUUUCAGUGAGGAAGAACGCCUGGUGGUUAAUACCCAUCAGGAAAGACAUCACUCACAGAAGAAGCACCGGCUAACUCCGUGCCAGCAGCCGCGGUAAUACGGAGGGUGCGAGCGUUAAUCGGAAUUACUGGGCGUAAAGCGCGCGUAGGUGGCUUGAUAAGCCGGUUGUGAAAGCCCCGGGCUCAACCUGGGAACGGCAUCCGGAACUGUCAAGCUAGAGUACAGGAGAGGAAGGUAGAAUUCCCGGUGUAGCGGUGAAAUGCGUAGAGAUCGGGAGGAAUACCAGUGGCGAAGGCGGCCUUCUGGACUGACACUGACACUGAGGUGCGAAAGCGUGGGUAGCAAACAGGAUUAGAUACCCUUGUAGUC
RNAcentral lists this ribosomal RNA (465 nucleotides) under Vreelandella stevensii. RNAcentral describes it as "partial 16S ribosomal RNA". It matches the Rfam family "Bacterial small subunit ribosomal RNA", at positions 338 to 795 of the family's 1533-position model. The record is from RNAcentral. Lineage: Bacteria; Pseudomonadati; Pseudomonadota; Gammaproteobacteria; Oceanospirillales; Halomonadaceae.